GGUGGCUCGGUGGUAGAGCACUUGCCUCGCAUGCAUGAGGUCCUGGGUUUGAUUCCUCAGCACCA
This 65-nucleotide transfer RNA is filed under the name Dipodomys ordii (Ord's kangaroo rat). It matches the Rfam family "tRNA". Rfam says of the family: Transfer RNA (tRNA) molecules are approximately 80 nucleotides in length. Their secondary structure includes four short double-helical elements and three loops (D, anti-codon, and T loops). The record is from Rfam by way of RNAcentral. Lineage: Eukaryota; Metazoa; Chordata; Mammalia; Rodentia; Heteromyidae.